Molecule: ribosomal RNA, 253 nt
Filed under: uncultured bacterium
Lineage: Bacteria
Description: partial 16S ribosomal RNA
Rfam family: Bacterial small subunit ribosomal RNA
Source: RNAcentral
UACGUAGGGUGCAAGCGUUAAUCGGAAUUACUAGGCGUAAAGCGUGCGCAGGCGGUGAUGUAAGACAGGUGUGAAAUCCCCGGGCUUAACCUGGGAACUGCAUUUGUGACUGCAUCGCUGGAGUGCGGCAGAGGGGGAUGGAAUUCCGCGUGUAGCAGUGAAAUGCGUAGAUAUCUGGAGGAACACCGGUGGCGAAGGCGACGUCCUGGACCGGUAUUGACGCUGAGGCGCGAAAGCCAGGGGAGCAAACGGG